GCCUGGGUGGCUCAGUCGGUUGAGCGUCUGACUUUGGCUCAGGUCAUGAUCUCACAGUUGGUGGGUUUGAGCCCCGUGUCAGGCU
RNAcentral lists this transfer RNA (85 nucleotides) under Felis catus (domestic cat). It matches the Rfam family "tRNA". From Rfam's summary of the family: Transfer RNA (tRNA) molecules are approximately 80 nucleotides in length. Their secondary structure includes four short double-helical elements and three loops (D, anti-codon, and T loops). Lineage: Eukaryota; Metazoa; Chordata; Mammalia; Carnivora; Felidae. The record is from Rfam by way of RNAcentral.